Molecule: small RNA, 29 nt
Filed under: Bombyx mori (domestic silkworm)
Lineage: Eukaryota; Metazoa; Arthropoda; Insecta; Lepidoptera; Bombycidae
Description: ovarian small RNA-32666
Source: RNAcentral
UGAUCGAUGGAGUCAGGUAUUGAUCAAAA